CAUGAGUGGCGGACGGGUGAGUAACGCGUGGGCAACCUGGCCUGUACAGGGGGAUAACACUUAGAAAUAGGUGCUAAUACCGCAUAACGGGGGAAGCCGCAUGGCUUUUCCCUGAAAACUCCGGUGGUACAGGAUGGGCCCGCGUCUGAUUAGCCAGUUGGCAGGGUAACGGCCUACCAAAGCGACGAUCAGUAGCCGGCCUGAGAGGGCGGACGGCCACACUGGGACUGAGACACGGUCCAAACUCCUACGGAAGGCAGCAG
Molecule: ribosomal RNA, 263 nt
Filed under: uncultured bacterium
Lineage: Bacteria
Description: partial 16S ribosomal RNA
Rfam family: Bacterial small subunit ribosomal RNA
Source: RNAcentral